GGAGGAGGAGGUGGAAGGGGAAUAAAAAAAUAACAAAAAGGAGGAAGAGAAGAAGAAAAGAACGGUGGAGGAAGGAGGUGAAUGGAGGCGAAGAAAGAAGAACAAAAAGGAGGAAGAUAAAAAGGAAAGAACGGUGGAGGAAGGAGGUGGAUGGAGGGCAAGAAAGAAGAAAAAGAAGAAGAAGAUGAAGGAGGAUCUGGUGGAGGAGGAGGGGAAGAAAGAAGAAAAAGUAAGAAGAGAAGUAGAAAAAGAAAAAGAAGGGGGGAGAAAAUCUGGAACACAAGGUUCUCCAAAGGUGAAUGUUGAACAUCAUCUUUGCAUAUAUUUGGAAAAAUAAAAUACUAUUGAAAAAAAGAAACUCUUCUUAAGGGUGCCAGAGACAGCAAAGAAAGCCCUUUUGGACUUGGGAUAGGAGAAGAACAUGAGUUAAAAAGAAUAGGACAUCAAGGAGGGUAAGAUACAGAAAGGUGACAGCUGAGAAGAUGGGUUGGAAAAAUAUGUCAGGGACUCAUGUCCCUUAGUGGUCUGUUCUUUGUAGUCUUGUCAUACCCAAGUUUAAAUCCUGUUUAGAAUUUUUUCUAAUUGUUUGAAAGCAGAAAAUUCAUUUAGAGUGUUUAAGCCUCUUUUUCUCCUAUUAAAAUUAGAUGGGAUUUGCACUCAGUGUUCCCUAAGAUUCCCUCUAACUCUAAAUCUAUGAUAGUCUUAGGAAAAAAAGAGAAGAGAAAAAGCGACUCAUUUUUGAAUGAGGAGAGCAAGGGGAAAAUGCUAUUAAAAAGGAAUGAGAGAAAGGAAGAAUUUUUGAAAAAAAAGGGGCCUGGAUAGAAAGAGAAAGACAGAAAGAGAAAGAGCUAGGGAGAAAAGGAGAAAUAUAGCGAUAAAAUCAGAGAGGCACAGAUAGAGAAACAGAGCACAACAGUGAAAAAGAAAAAGAGAAGGCUUGGAUAACAAACAGAGAAAUGAGGGGAAACCCCGUUAUGGAGGACAUUAAGCAAUAGAGCAAGAAGACCACAGGAUAUGGAGGGCUGUAAAGAGAAAGGAUCCCUUACUAAUGUAAGACAAGACUUGUAGGUGUUAUUGUUUUUUUUAGGGAGUUGGAGCAAGGUAGGAGGAAGGUAAAGAGAAAUAACAAGGGAGGGAGAGUAAGGAAAGAAGGGAGGGAGAAACAGAGAGAAAGAGAGACAGAGAGAGAGCAUGCAAACUGCUUGGUAAUGGGCAAGAAAGUAAAGGAAGAGAUCAUUGUGUCAGGGUAUGAACAACAGAAUUAAACCAUAGAUAAGAGAAAGAUUUAAAGGGGAAAGAUCUCUAGUGAUACUGGGGGAGGCCAUAAUGAUUAUAAAACCAGUGGAAGGAGAGAUGUAAAGGGAAGGGACAGCCUUACAAAAUGUAGGCAUAGCUAGGAAGCAUCUAUGUGCCCAGGUGGCUUGAUCACUGUAGUAUGAGGGGCAAGUACUUGAAUUUAAAUUCAACCCAGUAACUGAUAAAAUUAUUGCCCCGCCCAAGUCACUUAAAUGUUCUAGGCUACAGUUUCCUCCUUUGAAAAAUGCUGGGCUUGGAAAUACCCUCGUGGUGCUGUGUGUGGCAGAGGGCUAACAAAAUCUUUUGGAUUGUGAAGUUUGUGAGUGGAGGAAUGGGUACAGUGGUAAUUUUGCCUCAUCUGGAUGGACUUGAAAUGCAGGAAUUCCCUAACCUUCUAGUGACCUGAUAUUAGAAGUGUCCAUCCCCUCUAAAAAGAUCAUUUAAAGUAUUGUAACAACCAAUCGUCCUUGGAUAAGAGACCAUGAAUUUAUUUAUUUUGCAAAGGAAUUUUUCAUGAUUGUAAAAAUAGUUGAUUCUUUAACUUUAUUUCUGAACUUUAUCAUUAAACAGGAAAUAUAUUCCUAUUCCAAAUAGCCUGUCAAAGAGCAUUUAUUAAGUACCUACUACGUACAAGGAAGAGUACUGAGCGCUGGAGAUGUAAAGAAAAAGAAAAGGCAGUCGCUGCUGUAAGCUCCAACAGUCCACAAAAGGAAACGUCAGAAAACAACUAUGAACAAAGAAGACAUAGAGAUAGAAAGUAAAUUGGAAAUAAUCAACAGAAGGAAUUCAGGGAAAAGGGAAAUCUGUUCAUAUCUGGGGAGGCAGCUAGAUAUUAUAGCAGGAAAGAGACUUGACUUGAAAUGCAAAUUAUAUGAUUUUAAAUGUUGGCUCACAUACUGACAGCCUGGGUUGCCCUGAACAAGUAAGUUAACCUAUAUCUUAAUGAUAGAGUAAAUAAUGUCAAGAGCGAAGAGGAAGGAAGACCCCAUCGUAUUGAUGUGUAACAACAAAAGAAGAUUUGGCUGAUACUUGAAGGAGAUCCGAGAAGCCAAGAGGCUGAGAUGAUGAGGGAGAAUAUUUCAGGUGUGGGGGUGAGCCUGUGACAGCACGCAGAGUCAAAAGCUGGAGUAUCUUGCUUGAAGAACAGAAAGGAGAUCAGCAUGACUGGAUUUGAAAUUAUGAUUAAUACAAGGUAGAAGAAGACUGGAAAGGUAAUAAGAAGGGAUUUAAGAAGUAGCCAGGGGACUUUAUAUUUUGUUCCGGAAGUGAUUGAGAACCCCUGGAAUUCAUCACACUGGGGAAGGCAAUGGUCACAGGAGUUUUGGGAAGGUCAUGGUCAGACAGCUGAGUGAAGGAUAGACAGCAGUGGGGACAGACUUGUGGCUGAGGGCUUGUACCCUUAGUGUGGCAUAUAAAGUGAUUUUUUUAUUAGUUACAUUAAAAACCAACCAUGGUGCUUUGUGUCUUCCUCCUGCUCACAUAAGAGCAAGUUUUUCCCAACCUUUGUUGGCAAACUGAGACCCGAGUGAAACACGAAAAGAGUAUUUAAUUAUUUGUUGGUUAAGGCUUUCCUGAGAGGAUUGAUGUUCGUGGUGGCUAGAAUCUCCGGUGUGAGGACUUGCGAAACCGUUUUCAGGGCCGUCCAUCCAUCUUUAGUGUUUAGAUGGUCAGGCACCCAACUCUCAGCUCUGGCUCCAAGAAGUUUUAGCAUGUGCAGUGACCACAUCCUGGUAAACCAUCUCAUCAGAUGGGCUAAACUAGGCUGAGGGUAACUAAUAGGCCUCAUAUCUGUCUGGGAGUUGGGGGAGAUGUCUACCUCCAGCAUUUGGAGGCUUUCCCUACUGGAAUGGGCCAAUGAGAAUGAUCUGGUCCAACUGCCAUGAAGGCGGGUAAAGCAGAAAUUGGAGUGCUUAAAACUUGGUCAGACAUAGAAGAUGUGGGAACAUCAUGGCUGAUCAAGUCCUGAGAGGACUUGAAUGGGGCCUGUGGAUAGAUAUCCUUAUUGUGAGAGUCCCUGACUGUCACUGGUUUCUGAGGUAGCGCAAAGAUCAACUCUGUCUUUUCAUGUAUUAUAUGGAGAAUCCUGAUAUCUGUAAAAUAUUAAGUAGUAUAGUUCUUGUGGAGUAAAGCGUCCGUUUGCGGAGAUUACACCAAAUGAGGAGCCAACCUAACUAUGGAUCACCUGUGGCCACGAUAUUGUCCUUUUUCAGCUGCUGUCAUGGCCUCUGGAAAGGGAGCUUAGAACCAGGAUAAAGGGUCUUAUGUGUUGACAUUUGAUAGAGUGAGCAGUAUUUUGCUUGGGUUGUCCUUUGCUCUCAGAACUGUUGGUACUUGGUUUCUUGGUAAAUCCUUGUGGUCUGAUCACUAAAGGCAAAAGGGCUCAAGAGUGAGAGUUUUCCAAGUGAAACUUUCUGAGAUUUCUGGGAGAGAAUAAAUCUGUUUCUAUUGGGGGAAGUAGUUUUAUGUUUUAGCAAGGAGAAGAUGGGACUUGAGUGAAAAAUUAUGAGUUUAAAGGUUGGUGCAUACAUAGACAGCCUGGCUUACCCUGAGCAAGUAAGUUAACCUCUCUUGGCCUUGUGUUGUUCUUUAUCAAUUGAUGGAGUGAGAUUUCAGGGCCUCUCAGUUCUCUCCCAUUUUGUGAUGAUAUGGCUGUCUGAAAGAGAAAAGGAAGAGCCCAUCAGAUAGAUGUGUACAUAGGAGAGUACAUAAGAGGUUGGAUUUUAGCUAAUAAUUGAAGGAAGUCUAGGAAACCAGGAGACUGAGAUGAGGAGGAAGACCAUUUCUAGCUUGGAGGUGAGCCUAUACGAUGGCAGAAGUCAAGAGCUGGAUUGUCUUGCUUGAGGAACGGAAAGAAGCUCAGUGUCUCUGAAUAUGAAAUUAUAAUGUGAUCCAAGAUACAAGGAGAAUGGAAAGGUAUGGGGCAGGGCAGGUUGGUAAGGGCUAUACAUUGUAACUAAAGGCAUUUGUAUUUGAGCCUCCAAGUGAUUGGGAGUCCCUGGAGUUCUUUUCCUAAACGAAUAAAAUUAAGAAAAAGUAAGCAGAAAGAAGCAUUAACAGAUUCCUAUGGUUCUGUCUAUUCCUUCUGCUUAUCCAUCAGAUGAUAGCAUUAAGUUUUUCCAAAUAUUUUUUGGCAAACGAGAUCAGGGGAAAACACAUGAAAAGGGUGAGGUGUCAACUGUGGCUCUAAGAAGCUGUAGUAUAUGUAGUGACCACACAUUGGUAAACUGUCACACAUCAGAUGGGCCAAACCUCAUUGAGGACAACCAAUGGGUCUCAAACCCCAGUGGGUGAGUUAGGGGGAUGUCUACCUCAAGCACUCCCCUGGUGGAGUGGGCCUAGGAGAACUAUUUUUCUUUAGCCACGAAGGCAGGCGAAGUAGGCACUGUGGAGUACUUAAAGCUUAUUCAGACAUGGAAGACGCCAUACACUGCAUUCUGGGCCAUACCAGUAGUUGAAACGUUUUUCUUGCCACUGCACAAUAUUGGGGGGGGGGUAGAUGGAGAGAGGAACAAGAGAUGAGGAGGAUUAUGAGAGGAUGACAUACUGAGAAACAAAGAUAUACCUGAAAAUCACAUUUUAAGAAAGGAAAAUUUAACAAGAAAGAUAGGGAUUUUUUGUAGGUUUUGGAUAAGGGAGCACCCCGAACAAUAGUAAAAAGAAUGAUAUGAGAGACUAUUUUGUAGGGUUAGGAAAGAGUAAUUGAUAUAAUGGGAAAGCACAGUUAGAAGUGAGAGACAACUAGGGUUAGAGUCUUGAGACUAGAAUUAGGAACAUAUCGCUUCUAAUUUUCUCAAUUUUAAUAAAUAUAAAGCAAGAAAUCUUCAAAGUACUAAACAGUUACACCUAUUUCACAUGCAGGCAAGGUUAUGUUUUAAGAUUCUGAAAACUAGGUUUCAGCAGUAUGUAACUAGAGAAUUACCAGAAGAGCAGGCUAAUUUUGAAAGAGGCAGAGGAAAGACCACAUUGUCAAUAUUCAUUGGAUUGUGGAGAAAGCAAGGCAGUUCCAGAAAAUAAAACAAAACAAAAAACAUCUACUUCUCUUUCAUUGACUACACUAAAACAUCUGUAUGGAUCACAAUAAAAUAUGGUAAGUCUUCAAAGAGAUAGGAGUUACCUUCUGAGGAUCCCAUAUGCAGGUCAAGAAACUAAUGUGGAACAAUUGGUUUAUUUAGGAUUGGAAAAGGAAUACAAUAAGGCCGUAUAUUGAUAUCUUAUAUUUAACUUGCACGUAGAGUACAUCCUGUAAAAUACUCAGCUGGAAAAGCCAGAAUUAAGUUUGCCAGGAAAAAUAUCAACAAUGUCAGGUGUGCAGAUCCGGCCCCUCAUGGCAGAAUGGGAAGAACCAAAAGCCUUCUUAAUGAGGGCUAAGGUGGAAUCUGUAUAAAACUGGUUUGAAGCUUAACAUAAAAACCCCUUAAGAUUUUGGCAACUGUUUCUAUCACUUCCUGGCAAAUAAAGGGAAAAGAAAUGGAAGCAGUUUCAUCUUAGAUUCUUAGACUCAAAGAUUACCCAAGAUAGCAACUAUAGCCUUGAAAUUAAAAGAUGCUUGUUCCUUGGAAAGAAAGCUAUGGCAAAUCUCCUAAAAACAGAGACAUGACCUUGCUGACAAGGGUUCCUAUAAUCAAAGCUAUGGGUUUUCCAUUAGCAGUGUAUGGCUGUGAGAGUUGGAGUAUUAGGAAAGCUGAGUGCCAUAGAAUCGACACUAUGGAAUUAUGGUCCCGGAGAAAAUGUCUGAGAGUGCCUUGGAUGGCAAGGGGAUCAAAUAAGUCAGUACUUAAAUUAAUUUAGACUAUUUAUCAGAAUGUGAAAUACAAAAGCUGAGACUUAAAUGCUUUGGCUACAUAAUGAGAAGAGAGGAAACAUCAGAAAAAGCCUGAUGCUCGGAAAUAUUGAAGGUAAAUGGAAAAUGGGAUGGUAGAGGAUGAGCUAGAUAAUGUCAUGGAAGCCACAAACAUGAACUUGCUCAUACUUUCAAGAGAUUAUGGAUGAUAGAGGGGUGUAGCAUGCUCAAGUCCGGGGGCUAACAAAGAUUCAAAUAUGACUGAACAACUACCUAUUAGAUCUGUCACAGUGGCCAAGUCAUUUGAACUCUGGCUCCCCCAAUUUCCUCAAAUCUAAAAGGGGAAUCAUAAAAGUGUUGUCAUUCGGAUUAUCAAAUGACAUUCAUUUCUAACACAUACUUCCUGGAAUAGUUUAAGUACUUAAAUGUUUUUUUCUUCCUUCCCCCUUCAAAUGAAGGGUUGAAAUCAAGGGGUUCUAGGGAUGCAUUGAGGUUUAAAUCGAUAACAUCCAUAACCAUCGAAUAAAGAUAGUGACCAAUUCUCCUUUGGUGCAAAAGACCAUCUAAUAAUAGAUUUUGGAAGAAGGAAGAUAGGCCUAAGAAAGUAUUUCAAUAUGGACAGAGAUAAAGCAUAGAUUGGAAGAGAAACAUUAUCAAGCGAUUUCAGAGCAAGUUGGAUUAACAAUACACACAGAUGUAGAGACAGAAGAGCAGACACAGAUAUAGAAUAAGGAAAGAGGAAUAAACUACUCUUGCUAAUUGACCAUGGCAUGAGAGUAAGUGAAUAAGACUUUCACAGUCGCUGAUGCAGAGUAGAGAAAGCUGAAUGGCAUAUGUUUUUAGCAUCACAAGUGAAAUGGAAACCCUUCUCAAUGAUGGAGAAGGUUUAUUUUUCGGGGCAAGUUAGUCUGUCUCUGUCACAGGUUGCUCUACUGACAAAUGAGUCUGAGCAAUUUGUUUCAUGUAAAGCUGUUGGAAGUCUAAGGUCCUAUGAAUGAUAGAGGGGGAAAGGACCCUUGGUAUAAGAGAGGCAACAGAAAAAACAGAGGAAAUAUACACCACUGAAUAAAACCCUAAAACAGAAGACAGGAUUAUUCUGAAGAUCAAAGUAGAAAAUGAUUAUAAUUUGUGUUUGCGAGUCUCUGUCAUGUAACAGUCACUUAAAUUCUUUUUUUUUAAAGCUUCCUUUCUUAAAUGAUGAAGUGAAAACCAGUAGCCUCCGUGGGAACCUGAGAGAUGUAAUUAGAAGAUAAUAGUUGGGCUGUGGAGAAAAAAUGAAGACCACUACACAUUUGGAGGGAGCAACAGCCAGGAGAUAGGUUUUUGAGGAGAGAAUAGUGACAGAAAGAAUGCAAAGGAAAGAUCAGAAAGGAAGGAUUCCAAGCAACUUAGAGUCGUCAGCAGGGACAGAGACAGAGGUGAAGGGAUCAAAAGAGCAUGAGAAAUGACAUUAGAGAUAGAGAGAAAAUCAGCCAAAAUAGGCUUCUUAGUAAUUGACUUAGAAGAUAAGUGAAGCCUAAGGUAGCGUAAGGUGAGUGAUAGUUACAGUAGAUGUUUGAGAGACACACAGAGACAGAAAAUGAGGAGAAGAAAAAGAAGAGAUCGAGAGACUAAAAGUGAUAGGAAAGGAGAGGGAAUGGGAGAAUGGGCAAAAAAGAGAGUGGGAGGAAGAGGGAAAGAGGUUCAUAGAAAAGAUAAUUUCAGAUCUUGGGUAGUGAAGGUAGCUCAGUUUCAUAAUGGAAAGAGCACUGCUUUUAUCACAAGAAGUACAUGAGGCUGAAUCUCUUCUCAGUAAUGGAAAAGAUGUUAACCCAGAUGGAGAUGAUGGUGGCCACUUAGGGGACCUUCCAGUUGGAAGAUUCUAUCAGUGAAGAAGCGAGAAGGGCAAGCCCUAUGGGAGUGGAUGGUCAGGAAAGAGUUAGUGGGGAAGAGAACCACUGAAAGGUCUCGUCGACAUGGAUGGAGGGAGAGACAGAAAGUAAGCCUCCUACCAACCAGAACAUAUGCAGGUCUCCUUCAACAGAUCCACGAACACACGCAAUAAGAUCAGGAGGAGGAAGAGGAGAGACACAUUGACAGACACUGAGAACAACACAAGGACAGUUAAUCCAGCUUCUUCCCCUCUAAAAGGAUAACACUGGACUCCAGAACCUCUGAGGAUCCAUCCAAGAUCAUAUUGGAGCUUCUGGGAUUGAAGAAGAAAGAAGAAACAUACAACUUGGAAUUGGUAUGGAGGGAGAGAGUGAAAUACAGCCAAGAGCCUUGUGGGGAGGCCUGAGAAACAGAGUCAACUAGUGAGUAAAGAGUCAAUAGAGAAAGUUAAAAACAGAGCAAGACCAUAGGGUAGAAAAAGACAGGGAAGUGAGAAGACAGGGGCAAAAUGGGAAGAGACAGAAAAUAUAGAGAAAGGCAGGACAAUCUUUUAUAAUUGGAAAGGGAAGGAAAAUGAAGAAAGGCCAUUGGGGAGAGAGAUGAAGACAAAAGCAUAAGAUCAGAUGAGAGAGAUGAGAUGGGGAGACACAUAGAAAACAGGCAACUGAGCCAUACUGGAAAAGCCAACUAGAUGUCACAACAGAUCCUUGUCCUUGAAUCUAGAUCAGCCUGAGGUCAGCUCUGGACUCAGACACUUUCUCUGUGAGUCUGGGCAAGCACUUAAGCUCUGAGCCUCAGUUUCCAACCCUGCCAUGAGAGGUUGUAUUUCAUCAGCACUAAUACCCUUCCAAGUAUGAAUUUAUGAUCUUGGCAGUGAUCUAAGAUGAAAGAGUGGAAAAGACCUUUGUUCAGGGGAAGAAAAGGAGAUUCCUAGGGAAAGGGAAGGCAAGAGUAAAGGAGGGGUAAGGUCCUUGGGGAGAGAUGAAGAGAGAAACAUAUUAUGAAAUAUAGAUAAAGACUGUGAGCAGAGGAGUUAGGGUGGGAUAUGGAAAAAAAAAGAAUAACUGGGGAAGGAAGAAAGAAAGGAAGGGAUCAUUUUGGAUGAUAGGAGACAACAGAGUAAUGAGGAAAGUAGAAAGACAAAGGUGAGAGCUCCCUAAACAUGGGGAGGAAGAAACAAAGUAAAAUUAGGUUUAGAGAAGGAAGAGAGGGAGGAAAUAACUGAGGGGAUGCGGGGUCAUAGUCUUGGAAGCAGAAGCCAAGCAGCAGUUCUGCAGGGCCUAGAAAAAAGGAGAUGAAAAAACAAAUGGAAAAUAUCACUUGAGACAAGGAUGGGAAGGGACAUUUAGGGAUCUGCUAGAGACAAAGAGAAGGGAAAAGAGAGUAGAAAGUAAAGAAAAAGAGAUGGAGAGACAGAGACAGACAGGGACAGAGAGAUAACACACACACACACACACAUACACACACACACACACACACACACUAGAUAGACAUAUUAAAGGGAAAGGACCAUUAGGAAGAGAAGAGACAAGAAGAGGUAAAACAACACAGGGAAAGAAAAGGGAAAGAAAAGGAACUGAGUACAAGACUAAGAGAAGAGAGCAAGAAGACAGGACAGAAGAAGGGAGAAGCUGUCAGAUUAUAAGAAGAAACUGAUAUGGAUAGAAGGAGAGGGACAAAGAGAUAGAAAAAUUGGGUAUUAAAGAGGGCAAAAAGAUACAAGAGACAAAAAUGAGAAAAAAGGAAGAGAGCAAAGGAUGGGGGAAAAGAACAAUAGCACCAAAAUGAAGUGAGAAAAUGAAAAGAAUAAACUGUAAUAGGGAGUGAAGAGACAGUUAAAGGUAAGGGACCACUGAUUACAGGGAAGAGAGAGAAAGAAGGCAGAGCCUAGAGAGAGGAUAUAGAAGCGGAUAUUGGAAAUAGCAAGGGCUGGAGAAAAAAGAUAGCAUAGGGAGACUGGCAUGGGGAGAAAUAAAGGGGAAAAACACUGGUUAGGAAAAAAAUGAGAGAAAGACAGAAGGUUCUAUUGUAAAUAGGACUGGGGAGAGACAAGGGGAAUAGAUAAUGGAGGACAGUUAUGAGGGAUAAAAGGAUUUACCAUUAGGAAGGAGAAAAAAAAGGUGAGGAAAAAGGAAUACAUUAUUUGAGUGACAAAAAGGAACGGAAAACUGGGAUAGAGGAUAAGGAAAAAACAUGAAAAAAGAACAUUGAAUAUCUGGGGGAAAUACAGAGAAGACAGAAGAAUAUAUUUAUGCCUGAGAGAGUAAAAGAAUAACACACCUGCUAACGGAGGAAGACUAGGGACAGGCCUGGGCCCUGUGCUGAGUGUCCAGUGUAACAGGAGAGAAGAACAGGAGGGAUGAAGCAGAAGGGCUUGAAGAUGCUCUGAGUCAGCAAUGGCUACCAUUCCAUGAUAAAGAGAGGGGCAAAGGGGGAAAGGCCUAUGGAAGUGAAUGGGCAGAAAAGAGAGUUAGUGCGGAAGAGAACCAGCAAAAGUUCCACUUGGCAUGCAUGGAGAGAGAGAGAAAGUAAGUCUCCAGCAACCACAGUAGUAAGUAGAGGUAAUGUGCCCAACCUCUGCUUGUAACCUUAAUAGCUGUAAGGAUAUGCUGAAGGUCAUAUUACAUAAACUCUCCAGUUCAGGUUCUUUUUCUUUCAAUACAUGUGUUUUAGUGAAUGGAUACUCAGAUCCAUUCUCUCUAAUAUUUUCUGCUUUUCCAAUGAAGAAGGGGAAAAAAUCUUGAAGUAAGAGUAGAGGAAGAGAGAUUGAGAUUAAAGGGAAAGGCUUUUGAGGAAGAGAGAGAAAUGUUGGGAAGUGAAUAGCCUGUAGAGGGGAAAGGGAAAGUCAGCGGAAGGGUCUAAGCAAGGAUGUGGGGACACAGAGAGGAGGCUAGUACAGCAGGCAGAGAGGGAGACAGAGAUACAGGUGGAUUCCACACAGGAGAAUCAGAGAUUUUCAGAAAAAGAAGAUUCCUUGACAAUGAAAGAGACAGGGAGAGAAGAGAACACUGUGUCAAGGAAGUAGAUCUUUAUGACCAAGGGGGCCUAAAUAAACCCAGCAAGGAUCAAAGAGAAAGGAAUAAUAGGGAUUGCUUGGGGUAGGCAAGUGGCAAUUGAGGAUGGAGAGAGCAAAGCACUUGAUAUCAGAUAAUACUUCAGACCUUUUCAUGCAUGAAUUUGCUUCAGGAAAACAUUGAAGGUCUGUCAGGCUAGGCUUGGUCCUCUGUAAUAUAUUUGAGGGCUUCUUUGAUGACCUUUAAGGUCCCUUCAGUGUUUAAAAUCUAAAGAAUUGUGGAAAGGAGAAAGAAAACCCCUUGCGGGGUUGAGAUGGGAGGAGAAAUUGAGUAUUAAAAAAUCUCUGAGCAGAGGAGAGACACAGGGAAUAUCCAGAGAUGGAGAGAAAGUGUUGGAAAGGGAGAAAAGGAAGGAACCAUUUACAAUGGAGAUAAGCAGAGAUGAAAAUGCUACUGAAAAAUUGUUGACUGAUUUUGAAAGACAAGGGAGGGAUACUGAGGGAGAGAUCUAAAAGGAAGAAAAUAUGCUUUGCAAACACUAUGUCACUUGAUACCUAGGACAGCUCCAUGCAGUUGGAUAUUUCAUCUCCAUUUUAUACUUAAGGCAAAAAAUACAUCGAGAUUGUGACCAGCCUCGAUUCACUCAGUAAGAAAUAUCUAAAGUUUAAUUUGAACUCGGGUCCGACAGACUCCAGGCCCAGCACUCUUUCCAAUGCACAGGACAUGUCCCUGAGCCUCACUGAUUUGAGUGCAGAUCCUACUAUCCACUCUGUCUCUAUAACUCUGUUCAGAUCUCUGUCACUCUCCCAGGCUCAGCUUCCUUCUCUCUUAAAUGAUGAGAUUAUACGUAGAAGCCUGUGAGGACAUGUCCAACACUCAAUCUGUGAUUGAAGGAGAAAUAAGAAACAUGUAACUUAGCAUUGGGCUAGAGGGAGGAAGCAUGAAAUAGAGAAAAGAGGUUUGUAAGGAAGUCAGAGAAAUGGAGGGAGUGGACUAGUGUGGAAAGAGGAGAGACAGAAAGGGAAAAGGAAGGCAUGGCAAUGGAUUUGGGGGAGAGACAGACCAAAGGGCAGAAGGAGUCAGAGAAGUGAGAGAAAAGGGGGGAAGGGGAAAAGAGAGAAAGAAAGAACUUGAGAUAGAGAAAGCAAAAUAAUAUACAAAGAAUCUUUAACUUAAAGGACAGGGAAAAUGAAGGAAUACAAUUGCGUAGAGGGGUGAAAGACAUUUCAGAGGUCAUUAGAAAGGGAAAUUGUGAAAGGAAAGUGACAGCAGGUGAUGGAGGGAAAUCUUCUUAGAGGUUUAAACAGAUGAGACACUGAUAAACAUUACCUAAGAGUUUCUCAGCCUUAGGUUGCUCCCCUGAAGAAAGUGAUUGUAUUUCAUGGGUCUCUGGUCCUUUCCAUCUCUAAAUCCGUAAUCCUAUGAGUGAUGAAAUGUCAAAACCACUAUUUCAUAUAUGUUGUCUCUUGCAAUUAUAAUUCUAUGAUUUCAUGAGUGAUGCAAGAAGACAGUGAGGAAAAGACCAUUGUUUAGGGGAAAGAGGAAGAGACCACUGAGGAGAAAGGACAAAGAAAGGAUUUACUAGGUCUCUGUGGAGAGACAAAGAGAUAUAUGGCAAGAAGAGUGUGAGUAACACAGUUGGUGUAGUGGGGGAAGAAAAAAUGAUCUUUGGGUGAAAAAGGAAGGGAAGAGAAAAGAGAAGGAGCCAUUUUGGAGGUAAGAAGAGGGAAAAGGUGACUAAGAUGGGAUAGGGUGGAGGAGACAAAGGCAAUAAUGUAGUAAACAUGGGAGCCAGAGAAAUCCCCCACUAGGGAGGAACAGCAUUAGGCAGAAAGGAAAGAGAUUACUGGGGAUAGAAAAUUUAUUAGACAGUUGAAUUCAAGAAAUUGUGUAUGGCCUAGGGGAAAGGAGAAAGGGGAUUCAGACAUCUUGGGAAAGGGGAGAGAAAGGGACCACUGUGCAGCUGGAGGUUAAGGACACAGAGUGAGAGACAAAAAGUUAUAGAUAGAAAAACACAGAAACACACACAGCCCCAUAAAGAGAGAAGUUUUAGGAAAGGACCAGAAGGGAGAGAGGACAGAAGCAGAUGGAAGAGAUCACUGGGAAAGGAAGGAGGGGAGAGAAAAGGAGGAAAUAUGGGGAAUAAAGGCAGGGAGAAUGGAGACAGUACUAAAGUAAGGGGAAGGAGCAGUGAGAAAAUGAGACGGGCUUAGUUUGCAUAGAAAAGGGGAAAAAUGGAAAAAACAAAGUAACACUACAUAUUAAGAAGAGCAAAACAGGGAAGGAAUCACUAGGAAAGAUAAGUAGGUACUAGCAAGCCAAAGCAAACUUAGAGAAUGUGGAAGUAAGGAAAAAAGCAAAAAAAGAAAAGGUUGAGAGAAAUUGAGAAGGAGAAACAGUGUUGGGGAGGGAGGAAACAAGGAAAAGUUACAGCUCACUGAUUAGAGAAAAGGAGGAGAAAAAAUGAAGGGAGAGACCAUUGUGUAAGAUGGGGAAAGAAAAAGGGAAAGAAGCACUGUUGAGGAAGAAGAGGGAGAGAGCAACUGGGAGAGGACCACUGGAAAAAGUGGAGAGGGGAGAUACAAAGGGAAAGAACAAUGGAGCAUAGAGAUGGAGGGAGAAGGAAGGUACCAUUAGGGUACUGAGCGAAGAAAACCUGGUGACAAGAAGUAGAGAGAAAGGACCAAUGGGAAAAGAAGAGAGAGGAAAUAGAAAGGUAAGAUACCAUGGAUGAUGGGGAUGGAAGGAGAUGGAAGGUAACAUUAAGGAGGGGAGACAAAGCAGAGAAAUAAAUGGAAAGAAGCCGUGGAGAUAGGGGCAAAGUGACAAAAGGAACAUAUGGUGGGAUCUGGGAUGGAGAAAAUGGAAAAAGCAAGUGAAGAGUACAUUAUGAACCCCUAGGGGAAAUAGAAGAGAGCAGAAAAGAGAGUGCCUGUGGGAGGACGGCCAAGGGCUACAGAGCAAAGGAAGAAAGCACUUGCUAAGGGGGGAGGGAUGGGACAGGCCUGGGCCCUGUACAGCCUGUGCAGUGAGGCAGGAGGGAAGAGCAGGAAGGAUAAAGCCAAAGGGCCCGAGGAUGCUCUGAGGCAGCAAGGGCUCACAGUGGAUAUGACUGUCAGGGAAACUGAGGGGAAUUUUAAAUCCAAGAUUGCCACCCACAGGCUGGAGAUGGAAGUGCCCAGGUGGGGGAUGGGAAGGGAGAAAAUAACAGACCAAUGAGGAGAGAGCUGGGGCCAGAGGGAGGGGCCAUGCUGGACAGAGCCAUGGGCUGGAGGUCAAGUCAGGCUGAAGUGGAGGCUGCCUCACAAACUCAGAGAUGUGUGAGCCUGCACAAGGCCCUUGGCACCUGCUUUAGACCACAGUCUCUUCUCCUUUUAAAUGAUGCUCUUGAAAUCAAAGGCUUUUAAUUCUGUGCUUUUAUGACAAAUAAGAGGAAAGUCUGAGGAUUGAAGGGGAGGAGUGAAAAGCAGUUAGAGACCAAACUCCAUUAGAGAGACAGACAAAAGCACAGAAAUAGUGACAAAGAUAGAGACAUCAAAAAGGGACCACAGAGAACUGGAAGAGUGAUGGUGGGGGGUGAGGCAACUGGUUCUCCCAGUGUGUGCUUGGGGUCAGGAGGACUCGAGUUCAAAUGCUAGGAACAAACCUCCUUGUUCCAUGUCCAGGAACAGGUACGUUUAAUGGACUAAGCUUCAGGUUUGUCAACGUGAGACUCAGUUCACUGUCAUGGUCCCUUCUAGCUGGAAACUUCUGAUGUAUCAGUGAGAGAAAGGGGAAAAGAGGUUCUGUGGCCUUGCUCUGGUGCCUCCAAAGCAGAGUGUAAAAGCUGCUAAAGUGUCCUGGGGAAUGGAGGCAGGAAGAAGGAGCAGGACAAGCUCCACUGAGUGCAAAGGAGAGGGGGAGAAGGAAAGAGGUGGGAAAACAGGAGAUGGGGGGGGGAAGAUGGAGGGGAGAGCACUUGGAGGGGGCCAGUUUGGGAGGGACAGUCAGAGAGAGAUAAAGAGAAAGGGAAAGACUUUUUGCUAAUUGGAGAUGGAGGGUGGGAGGUUACCACUUUGUGGGAUGGGAGAGGAAGGAGAGGAGGGAGGUAAAGGACCUAGUUGGGUCUAGGAGGGAGCUCAUUGCCAGAACACAUAGAAGGUUUUACCUGGUUCCAAUCACCCUGACUUAGGACCUGGCUUCUAAACAUUAGGACCUGCCAAAUUACUUAAUUUUUUUCAGUUUGUAUUUCCUCCUCUAAAACAAGAUGGAAAUGGAGUUGGCCCCUCUGGGCUCUUCCAGGUGAAUGAUCCUCUCAGCGAUAGAGGGAGCAACAGGGCAGGGGGGAGGCCCUGGGAAGGGAAUAGGCAGGAAAGAAAGUUAGUGGGGAAGAGACAAGAAGAAGGCCCACUCGGCCUGGAUGGUGGGAGACAGAGAAAGGUAAGUGUCCAAUAACCAGAGUAAGGUAAGUAGAGGGAAAGUGCUCCAGCUCUGCUUGUAGCCUUACUGGCUGUUUGGCCCUCAGCAUAUCCCAUACACUCUGCAGCUCAGGUUCCUUUUCUCUCAAUAGGUGUGUUUGGACUGCAUGGACACUGAAUCUCACUUCCUCUACACUUACAUCAAGUAGUUUUCCCCUUUUCUUUUGGCAAACCAUAAUAUAUUAGAGAGUUGGAAUGGAUCUGAGAGUAAGGGCAAGGCUUUUGAGGAAGGAAGACAAACGUUGGGAACUGAAUAGCCUGUAGAGAGGAAAGAGGCAGAGGAAGGGGCCAAGCAAGGAUGUGGGGACACAGAGAGGACGCUAGUCCAGCAGGCAGAGAGGGAGACAGAGAGACACAGGUGGAUUCCACACAGGAGAACCAGAGAUGUUCAGAGAGAGAAGAUUCCUUGGCAAUGAAAGAGCCAGAGAGGGAAGAGAACAGUGUCAAGGAAGUAGAUCUUUAUGACCAUGGGGGACUAAGUAAACCCAAUAAGGAUCAAAGAGAAAGGGAAAGUGAAGAUUGCCUCGGGUAGGCAAAUGGUAAUUAAGGAUGGAGAAAGCAAAGCACUUGAGAUCAGAUAAAUCCUCAGACCUUUUCAUGUAUGAACUAACUUCAGGAGGACAUUGAAGGCCUCUCAGGCUCAGCUUCCUCUGUAAGAUAUUUGAGGGCUGCUUUGAUGACCUUUAAGGUCCCUUCCAUGUUUAAAAUCCUAAGAAUUGUGCAAAGGAGAAAAAAAAUCCCCUUGGGGAAUGGAGAUGGCAGGAGAAAUUGAGCAUUAAAAGAUCUCUGAGUAGGGGAGGGACAGAGGGAAUGGCCAGAGGGGGAGAGAAAGUGUUGCAAAGGGAGAAAAGGAAGGGGCCAUUUACAGUGGAGGUAAGAUAGAGAUGAAAAUGGUACUUAAAAAUUAUUGACUGUGAUUUUGAAAGCUAAGGGAGGGAAGGAGAGGGAGCAAUCUAAAAGGAAGAAAAUAUGCUUUGCAAUUUUGGUGUCACUUGAUACCUAGGACAGCUCCAUGCAGCUGGAUAUAUCACCUCCAUUUUAUACUUAUGGGAAAGAUACAUUGAAAUUGUGACUAGCCCAGGUUCACUCAGUAAGAAAAUCUAAAGUUUAAUUUGAACUCGGGUGCGACAGACUCCAGGCCCAGCACUCUUUCCAAUGCACAGGCCCUGUCCCUGGAUCCUUGCUCAUUUGAGCACAGAUCCUACUCUCGACUCUGUCUCUAUAAUUCUGUGCAAAUCUCUGUCACUCUCCCAGUCUCAGCUUCCUUGUCUCCCAAAUGAUGAGAUUAUACAUAGAAACCUGUCAAUCUGUGAUUGAAGGAGAAAGAAGAAAUAUGUAACUUAGCAUUGGGCUAGAGGGAGGGAGCUGGAAGUAGAGAAAAGAGGUUUGUAAGGAAGACAGAGAAAUGGAGGGACUAGUGUGGAAAGAGGAGCAACAGAAAGGGAAAAGGAAGGGAUGGCAAUGGAUUGCAGGGAGAGAGACCAAAGGGUAGAAGGAAGCAGAGAAGACAGAGAAAAGGGGGAAGGGAGACACACACACAGAGCGAGAGACAAACACAGAGACCGAGAAAGAAAAAUAAUAUACAUAGAAAUCUUUAACUUGAAAGCAGAGAGAAAAUGAAAGAAGAUCUUUGUGGAGAGAGCUGAUAGACAUAUCUGAGAUCAUUAGAAAGGGAGAUUGUGAAAGGAAAGUGACGGCAGGCGAUACAAAGAGAUCUCAUUACAAGUUUAGGAAGAUGGAAACAGACACUGAUAAAGAGCAACUCGGAGAUUUCAAGAUUCAGUUUUCUCCCUGAAGAAAAUUAUUGUAUUCCAUGGCCCUGAGGUCCUUUUCAGCUCUACAUCUGUAAUCCUAUGAGUGAAGAAAGGCAAAAACACUAUUUCAUAUAUGUUUUGUCUCUUGCAAUUAUAAAUUUAUGAUUUCAUGAGUGAUGCAAGAAGACACUGAGGAAAAGACCAUUCUUUAUGGGGAAGAGGAAUAGACAGACCAUUGAGGUGAGAGGAGAAAGGAGAAAGAAAGCAUUUACUAGGUCUCUGGGGAGAGACAAAGAGAAAAGGCCACUAAGGUAUAUGGCAGAAGAGUGUCACUAGUACAAUUGAGGUAGUGGCGGAAGAGAAAAAUAGCUUUCACUGAAAAAGGAAGGGAAGAAAAAAGAGAAGGAGCCAUUUUGGAUGUGAGAAGAGGGAAGAAGGGAAGAAUUGAUUAAGAUGGGAUGUGACAGAGGAGACAAAGGGAAUAAUGUAUUAAACAUGGGAGCCAGAGAAAUCCCCCACUAGGGAGGAACACCAUUAGGCAGAAAGGAAAGAGAUUACUGGGGAUAGGGAAUUUAUUAGACAGUCAAACUCAAGAAAUUGUGUAGGGCCUAGGGGAAAGGGGAAGGGGGAUUCAGAUAUUUUGGGAAAUGGGAAGGCAAGGAACCUCUGCGCAGCUGGAGAUUAAGGACAGAGACAGAGUGAGAGACAAAAAGAAAUAGAAAAACACAGAGAUAUACACAACCCCACAGAGAGAGAAGUAUUAGGAAAGGACCAGAAAGGAGAGAGGACAGAAGCAGAUGGAAGAGAUCACUGGGAAAGGAAGGAGGGGAGACAAAAGGAGGAAAUAUGGGGAAUAAAGGCAGGGAGAAUGGAGAUAGUACUCAAGUAAGGUCAAGGAGCAGUGAGAAAAUGAGAAGGGCUUAGUUUGCAUAGAAAA
Molecule: long non-coding RNA, 18110 nt
Organism: Sarcophilus harrisii (Tasmanian devil)
Lineage: Eukaryota; Metazoa; Chordata; Mammalia; Dasyuromorphia; Dasyuridae
Exons: 4
Source: RefSeq, a predicted model, not a curated record